This 574-nucleotide ribosomal RNA is filed under the name Debaryomyces hansenii. Its description in RNAcentral is "eukaryotic LSU rRNA". It matches the Rfam family "Eukaryotic large subunit ribosomal RNA", at positions 35 to 625 of the family's 3401-position model. Lineage: Eukaryota; Fungi; Ascomycota; Pichiomycetes; Serinales; Debaryomycetaceae. The record is from RNAcentral.
UGUGCAUAUCAAUAAGCGGAGGAAAAGAAACCAACAGGGAUUGCCUUAGUAACGGCGAGUGAAGCGGCAAAAGCUCAAAUUUGAAAUCUGGCACCUUCGGUGUCCGAGUUGUAAUUUGAAGAAGGUAACUUUGGAGUUGGCUCUUGUCUAUGUUCCUUGGAACAGGACGUCACAGAGGGUGAGAAUCCCGUGCGAUGAGAUGCCCAAUUCUAUGUAAAGUGCUUUCGAAGAGUCGAGUUGUUUGGGAAUGCAGCUCUAAGUGGGUGGUAAAUUCCAUCUAAAGCUAAAUAUUGGCGAGAGACCGAUAGCGAACAAGUACAGUGAUGGAAAGAUGAAAAGAACUUUGAAAAGAGAGUGAAAAAGUACGUGAAAUUGUUGAAAGGGAAGGGCUUGAGAUCAGACUUGGUAUUUUGCGAUCCUUUCCUUCUUGGUUGGGUUCCUCGCAGCUUACUGGGCCAGCAUCGGUUUGGAUGGUAGGAUAAUGACUAAGGAAUGUGGCUCUACUUCGGUGGAGUGUUAUAGCCUUGGUUGAUACUGCCUGUCUAGACCGAGGACUGCGUCUUUGACUAGGAUG